GACGAACGCUGGCGGCGUGCCUAAUACAUGCAAGUAGAACGCUGAAGAGAGGAGCUUGCUCUUCUUGGAUGAGUUGCGAACGGGUGAGUAACGCGUAGGUAACCUGCCUUGUAGCGGGGGAUAACUAUUGGAAACGAUAGCUAAUACCGCAUAACAAUGGAUGACACAUGUCAUUUAUUUGAAAGGGGCAAUUGCUCCACUACAAGAUGGACCUGCGUUGUAUUAGCUAGUAGGUGAGGUAAUGGCUCACCUAGGCGACGAUACAUAGCCGACCUGAGAGGGUGAUCGGCCACACUGGGACUGAGACACGGCCCAGACUCCUACGGGAGGCAGCAGUAGGGAAUCUUCGGCAAUGGGGGCAACCCUGACCGAGCAACGCCGCGUGAGUGAGGAAGGUUUUCGGAUCGUAAAGCUCUGUUGUAAGUCAAGAACGGGUGUGAGAGUGGAAAGUUCACACUAUGACGGUAGCUUACCAGAAAGGGACGGCUAACUACGUGCCAGCAGCCGCGGUAAUACGUAGGUCCCGAGCGUUGUCCGGAUUUAUUGGGCGUAAAGCGAGCGCAGCGGUUUGAUAAGUCUGAAGUUAAGGCUGUGGCUCAACCAUAGUUCGCUUUGGAAACUGUCAAACUUGAGUGCAGAAGGGGAGAGUGGAAUUCCAUGUGUAGCGGUGAAAUGCGUAGAUAUAUGGAGGAACACCGGUGGCGAAAGCGGCUCUCUGGUCUGUAACUGACGCUGAGGCUCGAAAGCGUGGGGAGCGAACAGGAUUAGAUACCCUGGUAGUCCACGCCGUAAACGAUGAGUGCUAGGUGUUGGAUCCUUUCCGGGAUUCAGUGCCGCAGCUAACGCAUUAAGCACUCCGCCUGGGGAGUACGACCGCAAGGUUGAAACUCAAAGGAAUUGACGGGGGCCCGCACAAGCGGUGGAGCAUGUGGUUUAAUUCGAAGCAACGCGAAGAACCUUACCAGGUCUUGACAUCCCGAUGCUAUUUCUAGAGAUAGAAAGUUACUUCGGUACAUCGGUGACAGGUGGUGCAUGGUUGUCGUCAGCUCGUGUCGUGAGAUGUUGGGUUAAGUCCCGCAACGAGCGCAACCCCUAUUGUUAGUUGCCAUCAUUCAGUUGGGCACUCUAGCGAGACUGCCGGUAAUAAACCGGAGGAAGGUGGGGAUGACGUCAAAUCAUCAUGCCCCUUAUGACCUGGGCUACACACGUGCUACAAUGGUUGGUACAACGAGUUGCGAGUCGGUGACGGCGAGCUAAUCUCUUAAAGCCAAUCUCAGUUCGGAUUGUAGGCUGCAACUCGCCUACAUGAAGUCGGAAUCGCUAGUAAUCGCGGAUCAGCACGCCGCGGUGAAUACGUUCCCGGGCCU
This 1367-nucleotide ribosomal RNA is filed under the name uncultured bacterium. RNAcentral's name for it is "bacterial SSU rRNA". It matches the Rfam family "Bacterial small subunit ribosomal RNA", at positions 28 to 1381 of the family's 1533-position model. The record is from RNAcentral.